UACAGAGGGUGCAAGCGUUGUUCGGAAUUAUUGGGCGUAAAGCGCGUGUAGGCGGCUUGGCAAGUCGGGUGUGAAAUCCCUCAGCUCAACUGAGGAAGUGCGCCCGAAACUGCUUUGCUUGAGUGCCAGAGAGGAUGGCGGAAUUCCCCAAGUAGAGGUGAAAUUCGUAGAUAUGGGGAGGAACACCGGUGGCGAAGGCGGCCAUCUGGAUGGUUACUGACGCUGAGACGCGAAAGCGUGGGGAGCAAACAGG
This 253-nucleotide ribosomal RNA is filed under the name uncultured bacterium. Its description in RNAcentral is "partial 16S ribosomal RNA". It matches the Rfam family "Bacterial small subunit ribosomal RNA", at positions 524 to 776 of the family's 1533-position model. The record is from RNAcentral.